GAUGAACGCUGGCGGCGUGCUUAACACAUGCAAGUCGAACGGAAAGGCCCAAGCUUGCUUGGGUACUCGAGUUGCGAACGGGUGAGUAACACGUGGGUGAUCUGCCAUGCACUUCGGGAUAAGCCUGUGAAACUGGGUCUAAUACCGGAUAGGACCACUUCUUGGUUGUUGUGGUGGCAAUGUUUCUCGGUGUUGGAUGAGCUCGCGGCCUAUCAGCUUGUUGGUGGGGUAAUGUCCUACCAACGCGUCGACGGGUAUCCGGCCUGAGAGGGUGUACGGCCACAUUGCGACUUGGAUACGGCCCAGACUCCUACGGGGGGCAGCAGUGGGGAAUAUUGAACAAUGGGCGCAAGCCUGAUGCCGCGACGCCGCGUGGGGGAUGACGGCCUUCGGGUUGUAAACUCCUUUCGCUAGGGACGAGGCGUUUUUGUGACGGUACCUGGAGAAGAAGCACCGGCUAACUACGUG
Molecule: ribosomal RNA, 468 nt
Filed under: uncultured bacterium
Lineage: Bacteria
Description: partial 16S ribosomal RNA
Rfam family: Bacterial small subunit ribosomal RNA
Source: RNAcentral